GCUUAACACAUGCAAGUCGAGGGGCAGCAUGGUCUUAGCUUGCUAAGGCCGAUGGCGACCGGCGCACGGGUGAGUAACGCGUAUCCAACCUGCCUUACACUCUUGGACAGCCUUCUGAAAGGGAGAUUAAUACAAGAUGUUAUCAUGAGUAAGCAUUUUCGCAUGAUUAAAGGUUUACCGGUGUAAGAUGGGGAUGCGUUCCAUUAGAUAGUAGGCGGGGUAACGGCCCACCUAGUCUUCGAUGGAUAGGGGUUCUGAGAGGAAGGUCCCCCACAUUGGAACUGAGACACGGUCCAAACUCCUACGGGAGGCAGCAGUGAGGAAUAUUGGUCAAUGGACGAGAGUCUGAACCAGCCAAGUAGCGUGAAGGAUGAAGGUUCUAUGGAUUGUAAACUUCUUUUAUACGGGAAUAAACGAAUCCACGUGUGGAUUUUUGCAUGUACCGUAUGAAUAAGGAUCGGCUAACUCCGUGCCAGCAGCCGCGGUAAUACGGAGGAUCCGAGCGUUAUCCGGAUUUAUUGGGUUUAAAGGGAGCGUAGAUGGGUUGUUAAGUCAGUUGUGAAAGUUUGCGGCUCAACCGUAAAAUUGCAAUUGAUACUGGCAGUCUUGAGUACAGUUGAGGUAGGCGGAAUUCGUGGUGUAGCGGUGAAAUGCUUAGAUAUCACGAAGAACUCCGAUUGCGAAGGCAGCUUACUAACCUGUAACUGACAUUGAUGCUCGAAAGUGUGGGUAUCAAACAGGAUUAGAUACCCUGGUAGUCCACACGGUAAACGAUGAAUACUCGCUGUAGGCGAUAUACAGUCUGCGGCCAAGCGAAAGCAUUAAGUAUUCCACCUGGGGAGUACGCCGGCAACGGUGAAACUCAAAGGAAUUGACGGGGGCCCGCACAAGCGGAGGAACAUGUGGUUUAAUUCGAUGAUACGCGAGGAACCUUACCCGGGCUUAAAUUGCAACCGAAUAUGGCGGAAACGCUAUAGCUAGCAAUAGCGGUUGUGAAGGUGCUGCAUGGUUGUCGUCAGCUCGUGCCGUGAGGUGUCGGCUUAAGUGCCAUAACGAGCGCAACCCUUGCCGAUAGUUACUAACAGGUCAUGCUGAGGACUCUGUCGGGACUGCCAUCGUAAGAUGUGAGGAAGGUGGGGAUGACGUCAAAUCAGCACGGCCCUUACGUCCGGGGCUACACACGUGUUACAAUGGGGGGUACAGAGGGCUGCUACCACGCAAGUGGAUGCCAAUCCCAAAAACCUCUCUCAGUUCGGAUUGAAGUCUGCAACCCGACUUCAUGAAGCUGGAUUCGCUAGUAAUCGCGCAUCAGCCACGGCGCGGUGAAUACGUUCCCGGGCCUUGUACACACCGCCCGUCAAGCCAUGGGAGCCGGGGGUACCUGAAGUGCGUAACCGCAAGGAGCGCCCUAGGGUAAAACUGGUGACUGGGGCUAAG
RNAcentral lists this ribosomal RNA (1437 nucleotides) under uncultured organism. RNAcentral describes it as "16S ribosomal RNA". It matches the Rfam family "Bacterial small subunit ribosomal RNA". The record is from RNAcentral.